Molecule: ribosomal RNA, 502 nt
Filed under: uncultured bacterium
Lineage: Bacteria
Description: bacterial SSU rRNA
Rfam family: Bacterial small subunit ribosomal RNA
Source: RNAcentral
AGUUUGAUCAUGGCUCAGAUUGAACGCUGGCGGCAUGCCUUACACAUGCAAGUCGAACGGCAGCACGGACUUCGGUCUGGUGGCGAGUGGCGAACGGGUGAGUAAUGUAUCGGAACGUACCUUUCAGUGGGGGAUAACGUAGCGAAAGUUACGCUAAUACCGCAUAUUCUGUGAGCAGGAAAGCAGGGGAUCGCAAGACCUUGCGCUGAUUGAGCGGCCGAUAUCAGAUUAGCUAGUUGGUGGGGUAAAGGCCUACCAAGGCUACGAUCUGUAGCGGGUCUGAGAGGAUGAUCCGCCACACUGGAACUGAGACACGGUCCAGACUCCUACGGGAGGCAGCAGUGGGGAAUUUUGGACAAUGGGGGCAACCCUGAUCCAGCCAUGCCGCGUGAGUGAAGAAGGCCUUCGGGUUGUAAAGCUCUUUCGGCCGGGAAGAAAUCGCAUGGGUGAAUACCCUGUGUGGAUGACGGUACCGGAACAAGAAGCACCGGCUAACUACGUG